RNAcentral lists this ribosomal RNA (253 nucleotides) under uncultured bacterium. RNAcentral's name for it is "partial 16S ribosomal RNA". It matches the Rfam family "Bacterial small subunit ribosomal RNA", at positions 524 to 776 of the family's 1533-position model. The record is from RNAcentral.
UACGUAGGGGGCUAGCGUUGUCCGGAAUCAUUGGGCGUAAAGCGCGUGUAGGCGGUUCGGUAAGUCCGCUGUGAAAGUCGGGGGCUCAACCCUCGAAUGCCGGUGGAUACUGUCGGACUAGAGUACGGAAGAGGCGAGUGGAAUUCCUGGUGUAGCGGUGAAAUGCGCAGAUAUCAGGAGGAACACCGAUGGCGAAGGCAGGUCUCUGGGCAUUAACUGACGCUGAGGAGCGAAAGCAUGGGGAGCGAACAGG